Molecule: long non-coding RNA, 1072 nt
Filed under: Chrysemys picta bellii (western painted turtle)
Lineage: Eukaryota; Metazoa; Chordata; Testudines; Emydidae
Description: lncRNA (ENSCPBG00000004250.1)
Source: RNAcentral
AGAGUAUUCACACGAGAGGUUAUACCAGUAUAACUAUAUCUCUGUAACUUGGUAACAUUUCCCCAUAUAUACAAGACCUUAUUCCAAUGUCCAGAACAUAUCCUAUGGAUAAGAAAGAACUGUUAAAUAUUAGAGGCCAACUGAGGUGAUUAAGAAAAGGUCACGCCAAAAAUGGUUUUUUAUCACUUUAGAGUUAACAUUCUAGAUUGUCUCUGGAACAGAAAUCACAGUUAUUGUGAUUACAGAAAAAUAGCUCAUGGGCUUUAAAUGAGAUAUAUUUCCAGCUUUAUAUGGACCAAAUCUAUGUAACCUAUAAUAAAAGAUAUGCAAGUAUCAGGAAAAAAUGGAUGAGACCGAGCUAGAUUCCUUGACAUAUUGUACAGACUGAAAAAUUCAUAGUUAAAGCUGCCAUUGAACACCAGCUUUGCAGCACAAUCUAAUGUCUGGUUCUAUUAACAGAAGGUGAUGUUACAUAAAGUAGGGGAAAUAUUCAUUCACCUAUUGUGAACUAAUUACACUGCAAGUUACUGAAACACUGAGAAUUUCCUCCCAUGUUUAUUAUUUUUUUGCCUCUACUGAUAAAUCUGUUUGGGAUUUACUUUCUGUGUGUGUAGGAUCUAGCCAAUUUGCAGAUCUCCUCAUGCUUUAUAUAUUUUAUAAACAAAAAAAGUAAAUAUAUAUUCUAAUUGUUAUAGGUAUCAUCCUAUUCUGCCUCAACUAACCCUCACCUUCAAACUGGUGCACAAUAGCAAGUACUAUGUCAGUAGGAAAGAGGAAUUCUUGCGGAGUUUGCAGCUUAGUAGAUCUUACAUUGUGGGCUUUGCCAAACACGUGAGUUUGCAAACUUCCUCCUUUUAAAACUUUUUUUUCUUCCAAAGGAACGUGAUUUUCUUGUUAAAGGAGCUCUGUGCAAUGCAUUCAAAUCUAUCUGCCCUAAGUAGCCCACACCCCACCUGUUGUAUAAAUAUUUUUUAGACGUUCUCUCCUCUGCUCCUAGUUUUCCCACCUCAUGAGUUUCUCUGUAUUUGUUUUUCCUACUCUGCACCCUUCUUGCUUCAUCUUCCUCCCUAAU